This 403-nucleotide ribosomal RNA is filed under the name bacterium. RNAcentral's name for it is "partial 16S ribosomal RNA". It matches the Rfam family "Bacterial small subunit ribosomal RNA", at positions 355 to 776 of the family's 1533-position model. The record is from RNAcentral.
UGGGGAAUAUUGCACAAUGGAGGGAACUCUGAUGCAGCGACGCCGCGUGAACGAAGAAGGCUUUCGCGUCGUCAAGUUCUUUUAUAUGGGAAGAUAAUGACGGUACCAUAAGAAAAAGCCCCGGCUAACUACGUGCCAGCAGCCGCGGUAAUACGUAGGGGGCUAGCGUUGUCCGGAAUCACUGGGCGUAAAGGGUUCGCAGGCGGAAAUGCAAGUCAGGUGUAAAAGGCAGUAGCUUAACUACUGUAAGCAUUUGAAACUGCAUAUCUUGAGAAGAGUAGAGGUAAGUGGAAUUUUUAGUGUAGCGGUGAAAUGCGUAGAUAUUAAAAAGAAUACCGGUGGCGAAGGCGACUUACUGGGCUCAUUCUGACGCUGAGGAACGAAAGCGUGGGUAGCAAACAGG